AAAGAAACUAAGGUUCAGAGAUACUGAGAGACUUGCCAAUUAAUAAAGGGGCAGAGCUGGGUUCAAACACCCAAGUUUCUGACUUGAAACACACCUGUUCCACUACCCCACCAACCCUGUGAAUGUGAGCAGCAUUCACAAUGCCUGGAAGCCCCGAGAGGAAACAGCAGAAUUACAUUUCUGCAGAUCAGCAAUUCAAGAACAGCUUGGCUGUUGGGUUCUGGCUUGGAGCCUCAAGCAUUGCAACCAUGUGUUGGCUGGGACUGCAGUCAUCUGAAGGGACUUCAGAUGCUGAACGAGAGGUUGAUGGAGUGAAGAGUGAGGUGAAGAAAAGCAAUAAUAGAACCAAGAUGAGAAUCGUCUGAAGUACAUUGGCCUACAAAGGACCAGAUUCUGGUUCAAGAUGUUGACGUACCCAGUGGAGAUCCUGAAGGAAUGUGAUGCUUAAAGUCAGAGUUGGGAAGAAACUGGGAGGUUUUACUGGGACUCAGGGUUCAGAACGAAGGAUGGAAGAAGAAUUGGGGGAAAGCCAGGUGUCUGCUGAG
RNAcentral lists this long non-coding RNA (545 nucleotides) under Equus asinus (donkey). Its description in RNAcentral is "lncRNA (ENSEASG00005033240.1)". Lineage: Eukaryota; Metazoa; Chordata; Mammalia; Perissodactyla; Equidae. The record is from RNAcentral.